This 608-nucleotide long non-coding RNA is filed under the name Neogobius melanostomus (round goby). RNAcentral describes it as "lncRNA (ENSNMLG00000020644.1)". The record is from RNAcentral. Lineage: Eukaryota; Metazoa; Chordata; Actinopteri; Gobiiformes; Gobiidae.
UAACAAAAAGUAAGCCAAGUGACCUCUUGUUUGUCUCCUGUGAUAUAGAUGACCCUGGAGAAGCUCGGGGGAAUAUCUGGGCUUUCCACUGGACUGUCACAGUCUUCAUCAUCAUCAGUGUCCUACAGAAACACAGAAGCUCUUUAUGAACUUAACUGGACAUGAUGGUGUGAUCAGAACAUUAAACAUUUACCUCUUCUGUGAUGUGGACCCAUUUGUGCAGCAGAGCGACCAGUGUGUAGUACAUGAGCAGCAGGACCAGGGGGUUGAUGAAGUCGGGCCAGCUGACGUGUGCGUGUAAACCAAGGCUGUACGGCCUCGACGGGUGUAGUUGACCUGGCGUAGACGUCGUCAGGCGGCACGAACUGCUGCGAAAUGGGCAGUUGAUACAGGUACAGAAGCAACAGGUGUCCCGCGCUGAACAUGGCCAUCAUCACACACAGAGAGCUGAAGAGGAGCAGGCUGAUGGAGCGACUGAAGACCCACCACCAAAUCAGGCCCAGAAACGCCCCGAAAUACAGACUGGAGGGAUGUAGGCGAAGGGGAUUUGCAAGAAGCACUGCAGCGCCAAGAAGGUCACACUCAUGUAGAUGAUUAUCCGCAAGAAC